UGGGGAAUAUUGCGCAAUGGGGGAAACCCUGACGCAGCGACGCCGCGUGAGCGAUGAAGGCUUUAGGGUUGUAAAGCUCUGUUUUAAGGGACGAAUGUUACGGGGAGUAAUAUGCCCUGUAAAUGACGGUACCUUAAGAGGAAGCUCCGGCUAACUACGUGCCAGCAGCCGCGGUAAGACGUAGGGGGCGAGCGUUUUCCGGAAUUACUGGGCGUAAAGAGCACGUAGGCGGGACUUUAAGUCAGGUGUGAAAGACCGGGGCUCAACCACGAGGUCACACGUGAAUCUGGGGAUCUUGAGGACAGGAGAGGAAAGUAG
RNAcentral lists this ribosomal RNA (318 nucleotides) under uncultured bacterium. RNAcentral's name for it is "bacterial SSU rRNA". It matches the Rfam family "Bacterial small subunit ribosomal RNA", at positions 355 to 664 of the family's 1533-position model. The record is from RNAcentral.